UAAGGCGGCCAGAGUGGUGAGGCAACACCCGUACCCAUCCCGAACACGGAAGUUAAGCUCACCCACGUGACGGCAAGUACUGGAGUGCGCGAGCCUCUGGAAACACCGCCUCGCCGCCUCCC
This 122-nucleotide ribosomal RNA is filed under the name Natronoarchaeum philippinense. The record is from RNAcentral. Lineage: Archaea; Methanobacteriati; Methanobacteriota; Halobacteria; Halobacteriales; Natronoarchaeaceae.